UACGGGGGGGGCAAGCGUUGUUCGGAAUUACUGGGCGUAAAGCGCACGUAGGCGGAUACUUAAGUCAGGGGUGAAGUCCCGGGGCUCAACCCCGGAACUGCCUUUGAUACUGGGUAUCUCGAGUCCGGAAGAGGUGAGUGGAAUUCCGAGUGUAGAGGUGAAAUUCGUAGAUAUUCGGAGGAACACCAGUGGCGAAGGCGGCUCACUGGUCCGGUACUGACGCUGAGGUGCGAAAGCGUGGGGAGCAAACAGG
RNAcentral lists this ribosomal RNA (253 nucleotides) under uncultured bacterium. Its description in RNAcentral is "partial 16S ribosomal RNA". It matches the Rfam family "Bacterial small subunit ribosomal RNA", at positions 524 to 776 of the family's 1533-position model. The record is from RNAcentral.